This 442-nucleotide ribosomal RNA is filed under the name uncultured bacterium. RNAcentral's name for it is "bacterial SSU rRNA". It matches the Rfam family "Bacterial small subunit ribosomal RNA", at positions 339 to 796 of the family's 1533-position model. The record is from RNAcentral.
CUACGGGAGGCAGCAGUGAGGAAUAUUGGGCAAUGGGUGAGAGCCUGACCCAGCGACGCCGCGUGCAGGAAGAAGGCCUUCGGGUUGUAAACUGCUGUUGUACGGGAAGAAGGACGUGACGGUACCGUACGAGGAAGCUCCGGCUAACUACGUGCCAGCAGCCGCGGUAAUACGUAGGGAGCGAGCGUUGUCCGGAAUUACUGGGCGUAAAGGGCACGCAGGCGGUCAUGCAAGUCAGCUGUUAAAUGGAUGGGCUUAACCUAUUCAUGCGGUUGAAACUGCAUGGCUAGAGUACUGGAGAGGUAAGCGGAAUUCCCGGUGUAGCGGUGAAAUGCGUAGAUAUCGGGAAGAACACCAGUGGCGAAGGCGGCUUACUGGCCAGUAACUGACGCUGAGGUGCGAAAGCCAGGGGAGCGAACCGGAUUAGAAACCCCGGUAGUCC